Molecule: ribosomal RNA, 563 nt
Filed under: uncultured bacterium
Lineage: Bacteria
Description: partial 16S ribosomal RNA
Rfam family: Bacterial small subunit ribosomal RNA
Source: RNAcentral
UGGGGAAUUUUGGACAAUGGGCGAAAGCCUGAUCCAGCCAUGCCGCGUGCAGGAUGAAGGCCUUCGGGUUGUAAACUGCUUUUGUACGGAACGAAAAGACUCUGGUUAAUACCUGGGGUCCAUGACGGUACCGUAAGAAUAAGCACCGGCUAACUACGUGCCAGCAGCCGCGGUAAUACGUAGGGUGCAAGCGUUAAUCGGAAUUACUGGGCGUAAAGCGUGCGCAGGCGGUUAUAUAAGACAGAUGUGAAAUCCCCGGGCUCAACCUGGGAACUGCAUUUGUGACUGUAUAGCUAGAGUACGGCAGAGGGGGAUGGAAUUCCGCGUGUAGCAGUGAAAUGCGUAGACAUGCGGAGGAACACCGAUGGCGAAGGCAAUCCCCUGGGCCUGUACUGACGCUCAUGCACGAAAGCGUGGGGAGCAAACAGGAUUAGAUACCCUGGUAGUCCACGCCCUAAACGAUGUCAACUGGGUUGUUGGGUCUUUCACUGACUCAGUAACGAAGCUAACGCGUGAAGUUGACCGCCUGGGGAGUACGGCCGCAAGGUUGAAACUUAAAUGAA